AACGAACGCUGGCGGCAGGCUUAACACAUGCAAGUCGAACGAUAAGCUCUCUUCGGAGAGUGGACAGUGGCAGACGGGUGAGUAACGCGUAGCAACCUACCUAGUAGUACGGAAUAACGCUUAGAAAUGAGUGCUAAUACCGUAUACGCCCUUUUGGGGAAAGAUUCAUCGCUAUUAGAUGGGGCUGCGUUAGAUUAGCUAGUUGGUGAGGUAAGAGCUCACCAAGGCGACGAUCUAUAGCGGGUCUGAGAGGAUGAUCCGCCACACUGGGACUGAGACACGGCCCAG
RNAcentral lists this ribosomal RNA (288 nucleotides) under uncultured bacterium. Its description in RNAcentral is "partial 16S ribosomal RNA". It matches the Rfam family "Bacterial small subunit ribosomal RNA", at positions 29 to 334 of the family's 1533-position model. The record is from RNAcentral.